This 400-nucleotide unclassified non-coding RNA is filed under the name uncultured Pezizales. RNAcentral describes it as "sequence contains ITS2". The stretch from base 1 to 154 matches the Rfam family "5.8S ribosomal RNA". The record is from RNAcentral. Lineage: Eukaryota; Fungi; Ascomycota; Pezizomycetes; Pezizales.
AACUUUUGGCAAUGGAACACUUGGCUCUUGCAUCGAUGAAGAACGCAGUGAAAUGCGAUAAGUAAUGUGAAUUGCAGAAUCUCGUUAAUCAUUGAAUCUUUGAACACACAUUGCGCCCUAUGGUAUUCCAUAGGGCAUACCUGUUUGUGUGUCAGCUCCCCCAUAUUCUCAAGCAUUAUUUUAUGAUGUUUGGAUUUGUUUGGAGAGGUACCUUUUUUAUAGAGGUGCCCUUCAGAAAUGAAUAGGGCAGUAUAGGUUAUAUCUGAACCAGGCGUAAUAAUGAUAAAGUCGCUAAGUUCAUUAUAAUUGUACUUGCCUGAACCCACCCAUUGUUAGUUUGGGUGACCUCAGAUCAGGUAGGGAUACCCGCUGAACUUAAGCAUAUCAAUAAGCGGAGGCU